This 479-nucleotide ribosomal RNA is filed under the name uncultured bacterium. RNAcentral's name for it is "partial 16S ribosomal RNA". It matches the Rfam family "Bacterial small subunit ribosomal RNA", at positions 28 to 507 of the family's 1533-position model. The record is from RNAcentral.
GAUGAACGCUAGCGGGAGGCCUAACACAUGCAAGCCGAGCGGUAUUGUUUCUUCGGCAAUGAGAGAGCGGCGUACGGGUGCGUAACACGUGUGCAACCUGCCUUUAUCUGGGUGAUAGCCUUUCGAAAGGAAGAUUAAUACUCCAUAAUAUAUUUAACGGCAUCGUUUAAUAUUGAAAGCUCCGGCGGAUAGAGAUGGGCACGCGCAAGAUUAGCUAGUUGGUUAGGUAACGGCUAACCAAGGAGAUGAUCUUUAGGGGGCCUGAGAGGGUGAUCCCCCACACUGGUACUGAGACACGGACCAGGAUGCUACGGGAGGCAGCAGUGAGGAAUAUUGGGCAAGGGGUGCAAGCCUAAACCAGCCAUCCCGGGUGAAGGACGACUGCCGUAUGGGUUGUAAACUUCUUUUGAAUAGGGAUAAACCUACCCUCGAGAGGGUAGCUGAAGGUACUAUACGAAUAAGCACCGGCUAACUCCGUG